UAAUACGGAGGGGGCGAGCGUUAUUCGGAAUUAUUGGGCGUAAAGGGCAGGUAGGCGGCCUCAUAUGUCCUUUGUGAAAGCCCUCGGCUCAACCGAGGAACUGCAGGGGAAACUGUGGGGCUUGAGUCCGGGAGAGGGUAGCGGAAUUCCCAGUGUAGCGGUGAAAUGCGUAGAUAUUGGGAGGAACACCAGUGGCGAAGGCGGCUACCUGGACCGGAACUGACGCUAAGCUGCGAAAGCUAGGGGAGCAAACGGGAUUAGAUACCCCGGUAGUCCUAGCUGUAAACGAUGAGCACUUGGUGUGGCGGGUAUCGACCCCCGCUGUGCCGAAGCUAACGCAUUAAGUGCUCCGCCUGGGGAGUACGGUCGCAAGGCUG
RNAcentral lists this ribosomal RNA (377 nucleotides) under uncultured bacterium. RNAcentral's name for it is "bacterial SSU rRNA". It matches the Rfam family "Bacterial small subunit ribosomal RNA", at positions 521 to 896 of the family's 1533-position model. The record is from RNAcentral.